AUGAGCCUCCAGAAGACAUUCUGUGGAGCCGCAGCGCUCGGGCUGAUGGAACUCUGUGCUUUGUGCCUUGUUGGGCUCCUGCGGGCUUGAGGACAGCUCUUACUGAAGCGUUAGAUUGAACGCAGCGGGCCGGGGGCAGUGUGGAAAAGCCCUGCCCGCACGUUGCCCCUUUCCUUCCGUUCUGCCUUUCCUGCCUGCAGGCAGCUCGCUUUGGGCCCCGUUCCUGUAAGUAACAAACUUGUUCAGUGGCACGCUUGUUAAGAAAAAUAACAGUGCUGUCUUGCUGAAUUCUUAUCCAGAAAAAGUAAAUCCCUCUCUGACUGGCGCUUUCUGAAACAGAAUCCCAGAUUCACAGAAUGGCUUGGGUUGGAAGGGGCCUUGGGGAUCAUCCAAUUCCAACCCCCCUGCCAUGGGUAAGGUUAAUUUUUCAAGAUUAGUUAUAUCAUUUGCUGACCUCAUAAGAUGAAUGCUGCAACUCUUUGCUGCUAAGUUGCCUCUUUAUUGGUUACUGCAUCCAUCAUUUUCUGUACAAAUAAAGCUAGUGCUUUUCUCUGCUAAGAACGUGGUGUUGCACUGAUCUGUUAGAGGCAGGAGGAAUGGCUUUUGCAGAACAGAAGAAUUUGAAAUAAAUCUAAAGAAACCUGCUUUAGAAACAUCUGUUUUAAGAGACUUCAUCUUUUGUGGUAGGUGAGAGUUCCAUAUUUGGGGAUGUGGAUACAUUUGAAUCUCUUUCACAGAGUCGUAUUCUGCUAUCUUAGAAGAUGGUGCUGCCCUAUGGUUAUGACUCUGGAGGAUAUUAAUGCUGAGUUUUAGAUCUAAAAUAUCUUCAGACGUAAAAUUGAUGGUUGGACUGUAUGAUCUUCUAGGUCUUUUCCAACCUUGCUAACUCUAAUUCUAUGAAAAUUGCUCUAGAUGUAAACCAAAACUGGACGUCUGAAAACCAAGCAGUAAGAACUCUUCUACCCUCAUUCUUUGUGGGUGCAAGGACGUUUUUCUUGGAUUUUCACAUACAUUGUUUUGGAAGUUGCUCAUUAUGGCCUAACAAGCAAUGGAAGUUUGCCAGAUUGGGGAAAAACAGCUAAAGGUCAUCCAAAAGUCCCUGUGAUGAAGCUAACAGUGGAAAAAUGGGGAUAAAGUAAGUGGGCGUACGACCACUAAAUGCAACUGCGCAUGCACAAAGGAACAUUAGCAUAUAUUAAUGAGUUCUUGGAAAAGAAUGAAUAUGUAUGCCAAUGUACUGCAUGUGUAUGUCUUAACUGUUUAAAUGUAGAACCUGAACUCAGAGAGAGCACUUGUUUGUCAAGUCACCUGGUACGUAUCAUGAGGAAUAAAUGAAUGUCGCUUUCUAACACUA
Long non-coding RNA from Numida meleagris (helmeted guineafowl), 1354 nucleotides. RefSeq lists it as uncharacterized. NCBI's taxonomy places the organism in Eukaryota, Metazoa, Chordata, Aves, Galliformes, Numididae. The record is from RefSeq and is a predicted model, not a curated record. The transcript has 2 exons.